Molecule: long non-coding RNA, 2264 nt
Organism: Canis lupus familiaris (dog)
Lineage: Eukaryota; Metazoa; Chordata; Mammalia; Carnivora; Canidae
Exons: 4
Source: RefSeq, a predicted model, not a curated record
GAUGACAAUCCCAGACUUGGGAAUGACAUCUGCAGUGGGGCAGUCUUGCAGAAUCGAGUCCUUAAGCUGUGAGAUCUGAUGCUAUCUCUACGUGGAUAGUGCCAGAAUUAACUUAAUUGCUUGGAGAUGCUGGUGCAUUCUGAAUGGAGCAUUGAGCAGGGGAGGCUGCAGAAUUUUUUUUUUAAGAUUUUAUUUAUUUAUUCAUGAGAGACUCACAGAGAGAGGCAGAGACACAGGAAGAGGGAGAAGCAGGCUCUAUGCAGGGAGCCAGAUGUGGGACUCAAUCCCAGGUCUCCAGGAUCACGCCCUGGGCUGAAGGCGGUGCUAAACCUCUGAGCCAUCCAGGCUGCCCGAGGCUGGAGAAUUUAUAAGGAGCCCUAUAUAGAAGAUCUUUUCUCACCAGGUCGGGGGACUUAUACCCAGGCCCUGGGUACUGGGCAACCAUGGAGGUAUUUUAACAGGAAAGAGGUGGCCAAUUUGUCCCAUGCCUUAUGAUCAGUCUCCUUUAAAUGGAUGACAUCAUAAACCAAAGGAAACUUAGGGUAUAAACCACAGGCAGAUUAGGUAAAGGGCAGGUAGAGUCCAAAUUUGGAAAGACCUGUCCACGUCUGAAUCCUGCUGCACUACUCACCAGCUGUGUUGGAGGCCUAUCAUAGUCACUCAACAAAUAUUUGUAGAAGACCUUCUCUGACAAGGGAAAGUCUGAGAUCAUCACCAGCCACCCAGUCCAGUAAAGAAAAUUUUCAGCAGUGGUCACCUCUGCUGGGGAGUGGGGGGGACAAGAGGCUUUACUCUUCACUGUGGACUCUUUAUCCUGUUUGAAUGUCUUUUCAUAGGCUCCUUGGAAAAUGUGUGGACCUGGCUGGGGACACCAAGAACAUAUUAUUAUUGGACUUUGGUAUAUUUAUCACUAUUUAGGGGGUGCUAAACACAUGCAUGCUUGUCUUGUUCACAGGUGCAUCAUUGACUUGCAAAUGAAUGAACAAAUGACCUCUACUCCUCAAAGAUCCCCAAUUUACACAGAAAGAGGUUGAGGUUCAGGGAGCUGAAGGGACUUGCUUCAGUGACAUGGAGCCACACCCAGACCUCCCUAUUCUAUUUCCUCCUCAAAGUUGGUUUGACACUCUGCCAAUCCCCAGCUCACCUUGAGGAAGCAUGGCACAGUCAUCAGCUAGGAGAACAGACCUACCUGCUCCGGGUUAGACGUCAGCACUGCCAACACAUGGAGAUACCCAUAUGCUGUGACACAAAUGCCAUGCUUUAGGCCAUAUGAAGGCCUUUCCAGGUCUAGCCGAGGAACGGGAAUGGAGGGAGAAGCCCUCAGGGGUGGGGGCACAGCUGAGUGUCGGCUGUACAGGCCCCACCCCACCACCCCACCUCAAGCCACACCAUAGACAAUGAAGGAAAGGGUCCAGGUGAGCUCUGGGUCAGAAAGAGAUAAAGAAAGUGAGCAGGUGGCAUUGAGUCACGUGGCUUGUGGAGGUGACUCCUGGAGGCAGAAGCUAGCACUGUCUGGGGGAGACCUCAGACCUCAGAUAGGUGACCUUCACAGCUCUUGAAAAGUGUGGAUGAAAGGUUACACCCUCGGCUGACCAGAGGUCCACUCUAUGUGUAUAACACAAAGCCCUCCUUUCUGCUGGACCAAAUGCCACUAUCUUUGCAUUCACCCUCCCUAGGGUUCUCAGAGUGGAGGGGUGUGGGCAAAUUGCAAUUUUACUGACCUAUACUAUGUGCUGACCCUCUAUCAAGGCAUUUAAUAUGAUAUGAGCACUACUAACCCAGUUUACCAAUGAGCAAAUUGAGGCACAGAGUGGUUCAGAAACUUUCCCAGGGUCACACAGACAGGAGAAUGGAGGAGCCUGAAACACAGGCUAGCACACUACAAAGCACAUCGGGUUUUGAGACUCAUGGAGCAGGAGCUCAGUGAACAGUUAAUGUGCCAAGGAGAAUGAGGUCAGGCAAAUGGAUCUCAAGGAAGACAUAAGACUGAACUGCACCUCGCAUGAGAAAUCAGACCCGCCUAGAUUUAUCUGGAUUCAGAGGUAGAGUGACGACUCAUGAAAAAGGAAGAAGGUGAGGCUCAGAAAAAGAGAAUCCAAAGAAUUGAGAUUUCCUCAUGUGCAUUGAAAAUGCUAUAAUGGGGCAGCCCUGGGUGGCUCAGGGUUUAGUGCAGCCUUCAGCCCAGAGCGUGAUCCUGGGGACCCCUGAUAGAGUCCCACAUCAGGGCUCCCUGCAUGGAGCCUGCUUCUCCCUCUGCCUGUGUC